CUUCCAGUUGAGGCCACACCUUUUCCAGAUGAGGCCAUGCCCCCUCAGGACUCCAGCAGGACCCCUAAAUCCUGUAAGUUACUUUCACCCCUGCCUCCCCCUCUGCUCAAUUAUAUCCUUCAUGAGGCGGGGCUGCUGAGCUCAGGACAACAGAGAAGAAAAGAACACUACCCCAGCAAGCUCUGCUGCCUGUUCUCAACUGGCAUCCUGGGAUUGGCUGGACAGCAGAAGGCGUGGCUGAGAAUUUUUGCUGACUCCCUGCCCCACACACAUCUGGUCCUGGCAGCAGGCCCUGGUGUUGCCCCUUCCCAGCAGAGCACUGAGAUUUGGGCUGACUACAUAGUAAGAGUCAGCGCCUGCCUUGAAGAGCUUACAUUCUAAACAGACAAGGGAAGAAAGGAAAUAUUGUGAUCCUCAUUAUACAGAUGGAGAGGCUGAGGUGCAGAGAGAUUAAUGAUUUGCCCAGGGUUAUAGCGGAAAUCUGCGGCAGAGACAGGAAAUGAAUCCAGGUCUGCUGAGCAGCAAUCCAGUGCCUCAGCCAAAAGACCAACCUUCCACUGGAAGUCACGUUACUGGUAAUUGGUGUAUCGGGAAAAUCCCCCUAAGCGAAGCAUCCUGACCGCAAAUUACCGCAGCUCUCAGCAUUUCUUCAUCCACUUUGCAGCUAAGGCAGUAGCUGAAGCGUUGUGGCAGCUUUUCACAGUGCUCUCUUGCCCACCCUCCUGUCCUGCACACGUGGAGAUUGGGACACAGGAUGCCCUGGAUGUUACCAUAUCAGGGACUGUUGUGCACGUUUCCAGGCUGCUGAAUACCUGACUGGUAUCUAUAGAGAACAUUCCCUUCCCAGCGAGGCAGGGGCUGUGCUCAGGCAGGCAGGACGGCCAUACACUCCCCCCCCCUAGAAGAAUGAGUGUGUAAAUGUUUAGUGCCCGGCUGUUUAGCCCUUGCACACAUUAGUGAGCACUUCCCUAUGUGACAUGUCCCCCUGAAGUCAGUGGAGUUGUUGGUGGCUGUAAGAGCUCAUCGCUGUAAGGAUCCUUAAACGUUUUGUGCCAGAUUCUCAACCAGCGUAAAUCACUGUCGCUCCAUGGACCCAGCUGAAGAUGUGAUGUGGGCGUGGCACAGCCAUUGUGCAAAUGCUGUUCAGGACCACAGACCACCUUCAUCCUAAUCAUGAGAGAUGUCCUGAGCAGCCUGAGUCAGCGAGAGGCACCCAGAUGACAUCACCACCUCUACCAGCUCCAGCUGAAUCCCAAAUGCCACCUCGGAUGAAACAGGACUGGACUUUAACUGCAGCAGCAGCUCCAGCUCAUCUCAGCUAACUUCUCUUUUCCCCAUAGGAUGGUUAUUGCCAUCUUUAUCAUCAUCAUCUAAGAGACCAUGAGACACAGGGGCUUUGCCUUCUAAAAACUCUCUCCAGCUCAAGGGAAAGGGAACAAGGGUUGUUGUUAAAAUGAAAGCCUCACUUAAUACUUAACUUGUCAAAUGCUUUAACUGAUUUCCCUUCUUCUCUUGACCUUUAAUAAGAGGUUAAAAUAAUUUGUAAAAGUGUGUUUGCCACAGACCGUGCUAAGCAAUAUGAGGUCUCUAUAGAACAAAGCCCCAAAGUUAUUUAAUGCUGUUUAGUGUUGGACAGUGAUGGUGCUAUGUUAACACCUUUGGCUCAAGUACUCCAUGUAAAUUAAUACAAAAUUUUUGGGUUCCCAAUGUGGGACCCAAACGGUUAAAUACAUACUCAGAAGCUGGCACCUUGGCAAACAAGCAAUUGUUUCCAAAGUUAGUUUAAAACAAAAGUGUUUUAAAAUUCUUAAAUGUGUUGAGUUUGAGAUAAACAUGCAAAACAAACUGAACAUUUUUGCUUUAAAACAAUUGUUAACCCUCUCUUUUUUCUAGUUAUUCUUAAAAAAAAAAAAUCUUGUAAAAUGCUUGGGUUAAUUUUUUUCCCUUUGUGUUUUUGAGGUUUGUAGUUUCUGUGAUUGGUAAUUUAAGAAAAAGUAAAAGGAAUGAGUUGUUUAAAAUUGUUGAAGGUUAAGUGACUAAAGCAGACUUCCUGAAAUAACAUCUUAAUUCUCUUCUUAAGAAAAUGCCAGCUUUACUCUGGGCUGCUGUUGCAUUAACCGUGAAUUAAAUCUCAGACCACCAGAACCCAGGGUUCCUGGAGCACCAAACUUUGGGGGGGGGGUUGGUGAUUGUUUUGGUUUUGCGAUGCUUUUUAACUUGUUGCUUUUGUGCUUUAGCAAAGGGUCCCCCCCCACCACACACUUUUGGUUUUUAUGUCAAUGAUUUCUGUUAUUCUCAGCACAGUGCUAGUGUUGUAGCUCAGAUCCCCAGAAUGGGCUAAGUUGCCAAGAUGGCCAUGUUGUCCUCACAAAUGAUGGUGGUAAAAUGCAUGCGCAAGAUCUAACAUUGCUCAUGGAUGCAAAAGUGGUUCCAAAAGAACAUCUUUUUGUUGCUUCUUUUUAAGAGGCAACACACUUGGUUAAAAAUGCCCUCAGGGCUAAAGUUUUUCUCCAAGUGACCAAGCUUAACCUCCAGUGCCUAAAAUCUUCCUGGGUUGUGUAAAUGUACAGCCUUUACUGUGUAAGCAGCAAAAGGGGUGCCGGGGAGGAGUUCUUUCUAUUAUUACCUACUCUGGGCAUACAGCCAAAGAAGUGAGAAGGGCUGGUUUGUUCUUAAACAUCUUACA
Mauremys reevesii (Reeves's turtle) is the source of this 2686-nucleotide long non-coding RNA. RefSeq lists it as uncharacterized. The record is from RefSeq and is a predicted model, not a curated record. The transcript has 4 exons. Lineage: Eukaryota; Metazoa; Chordata; Testudines; Geoemydidae.